CCUACGGGUGGCUGCAGUGGGGGAUAUUGCACAAUGGUGGGAACCCUGAUGCAGCGACGCCGCGUGGGUGAAGAAGCGCCUCGGCGCGUAAAGCCCUUUCAGCAGGGAAGAAAAUGACUGUACCUGAAGAAGAAGCCCCGGCUAACUACGGGCCAGCAACCGCGGUAAUACGUAGGUGGCAAGCGUUAUCCGGAUUGACUGGGGGUAAAGGGGGCGCAGACGGCGAUGCAAGCCAGGAGUUAAAGCCCGGGGCCCAACCCCGGGACUGCUCUUGGAACUGCGUGGCUGGAGUGCAGGAGGGGCAGGCGGAAGUCGUGGUGUAGCGGUGAAAUGCGGAGAUAUCAGGAGGAACACCGGUGGAGAAGGCGGCCUGCUGGACUGCAACUGACGUUGAGGCCCGAAAGCGUGGGGAGCAAACAGGAUUAGAUACCCGAGUAGUC
This 440-nucleotide ribosomal RNA is filed under the name uncultured bacterium. Its description in RNAcentral is "partial 16S ribosomal RNA". It matches the Rfam family "Bacterial small subunit ribosomal RNA", at positions 338 to 795 of the family's 1533-position model. The record is from RNAcentral.